This 400-nucleotide unclassified non-coding RNA is filed under the name uncultured fungus. RNAcentral's name for it is "sequence contains ITS1". The record is from RNAcentral. Lineage: Eukaryota; Fungi.
GGACUACUGGGGUUUCUAAUCCUGUUCGCUCCCCACGCUUUCGCUCCUCAGCGUCAGUUACGGCCCAGAGAUGUGCCUUCGCCAUUGGUGUUCCUCCUGAUAUCUGCGCAUUCCACCGCUACACCAGGAAUUCCCAUCUCCCCUACCGCACUCUAGCCUGCCCGUACCCACUGCAAGUCCAAGGUUGAGCCUUGGAUUUUCACAGCAGACGUGACAAACCGCCUACGAGCUCUUUACGCCCAAUAAUUCCGGACAACGCUUGCACCCUACGUAUUACCGCGGCUGCUGGCACGUAGUUAGCCGGUGCUUUUUCUGCAGGUACCGUCACUUUCGCUUCUUCCCUGCUAAAAGAGGUUUACAACCCGAAGGCCUUCAUCCCUCACGCGGCGUUGCUGCAUCA